This 895-nucleotide ribosomal RNA is filed under the name Salmonella enterica. Its description in RNAcentral is "partial 23S ribosomal RNA". It matches the Rfam family "Bacterial large subunit ribosomal RNA", at positions 1918 to 2812 of the family's 2925-position model. RNAcentral also lists the same sequence under 2 other names. The record is from RNAcentral. Lineage: Bacteria; Pseudomonadati; Pseudomonadota; Gammaproteobacteria; Enterobacterales; Enterobacteriaceae.
CCCCGGUAAACGGCGGCCGUAACUAUAACGGUCCUAAGGUAGCGAAAUUCCUUGUCGGGUAAGUUCCGACCUGCACGAAUGGCGUAAUGAUGGCCAGGCUGUCUCCACCCGAGACUCAGUGAAAUUGAACUCGCUGUGAAGAUGCAGUGUACCCGCGGCAAGACGGAAAGACCCCGUGAACCUUUACUAUAGCUUGACACUGAACAUUGAGCCUUGAUGUGUAGGAUAGGUGGGAGGCUUUGAAGUGUGGACGCCAGUCUGCAUGGAGCCGACCUUGAAAUACCACCCUUUAAUGUUUGAUGUUCUAACGUGGACCCGUAAUCCGGGUUGCGGACAGUGUCUGGUGGGUAGUUUGACUGGGGCGGUCUCCUCCUAAAGAGUAACGGAGGAGCACGAAGGUUGGCUAAUCCUGGUCGGACAUCAGGAGGUUAGUGCAAUGGCAUAAGCCAGCUUGACUGCGAGCGUGACGGCGCGAGCAGGUGCGAAAGCAGGUCAUAGUGAUCCGGUGGUUCUGAAUGGAAGGGCCAUCGCUCAACGGAUAAAAGGUACUCCGGGGAUAACAGGCUGAUACCGCCCAAGAGUUCAUAUCGACGGCGGUGUUUGGCACCUCGAUGUCGGCUCAUCACAUCCUGGGGCUGAAGUAGGUCCCAAGGGUAUGGCUGUUCGCCAUUUAAAGUGGUACGCGAGCUGGGUUUAGAACGUCGUGAGACAGUUCGGUCCCUAUCUGCCGUGGGCGCUGGAGAACUGAGGGGGGCUGCUCCUAGUACGAGAGGACCGGAGUGGACGCAUCACUGGUGUUCGGGUUGUCAUGCCAAUGGCACUGCCCGGUAGCUAAAUGCGGAAGAGAUAAGUGCUGAAAGCAUCUAAGCACGAAACUUGCCCCGAGAUGAGUUCU